UGGUGUGAAUGUACAGUGGCACAAAUGCU
RNAcentral lists this non-coding RNA (29 nucleotides) under Homo sapiens (human). Lineage: Eukaryota; Metazoa; Chordata; Mammalia; Primates; Hominidae. The record is from RNAcentral.